Oreochromis aureus is the source of this 457-nucleotide long non-coding RNA. The record is from Ensembl. NCBI's taxonomy places the organism in Eukaryota, Metazoa, Chordata, Actinopteri, Cichliformes, Cichlidae.
ACAGCUUGGAUCAAAGACACGACGCUGGGCCUUUAAAAUCAUUUCAGUAUUAAAGCUGCUUCUUUCAACGUCCCAGUUUCAUUUCCAGAUGGUGUUUUUAUUUAUUUUUAAAAAAAUGAAAUUAUAAAACACAGUUUUAAAGUCCAUCAAAGCGUUCUGACUUUUUUACAUGAAGACAGGACACAGACAUGGUUAAUGAUAACACCUCACACACUUGCUACAGUUCCUGCAGCCACACAGAUGUGUCAUCACUGAUGCCUGUGCUCUGCUGGAGUCUUCUCUAACACUGGAUGCAUUUAUAAGGACAACAACAUCCUGCCUAAAAUAAACUAAUGCAGGUCAUGAUGUCCACUGUGGCGUCUUCUCAGUGAUUUUGUGGUUCACACUCCGAUGGAUGCAUCAGAGAGCAAAUGGGGUUAGUAUCUUGCCCAAGGAUAUUUGGCAUGCAACCUGGAGC